UAGAUUGACGCUGGCGGCAGGCCUAACACAUGCAAGUCGAACGGUAACAGGAAGCAGCUUGCUGCUUUGCUGACGAGUGGCGGACGGGUGAGUAAUGUCUGGGAAACUGCCUGAUGGAGGGGGAUAACUACUGGAAACGGUAGCUAAUACCGCAUAACGUCGCAAGACCAAAGAGGGGGACCUUAGGGCCUCUUGCCAUCGGAUGUGCCCAGAUGGGAUUAGCUAGUAGGUGGGGUAAAGGCUCACCUAGGCGACGAUCCCUAGCUGGUCUGAGAGGAUGACCAGCCACACUGGAACUGAGACACGGUCCAGACUCCUACGGGAGGCAGCAGUGGGGAAUAUUGCACAAUGGGCGCAAGCCUGAUGCAGCCAUGCCGCGUGUAUGAAGAAGGCCUUCGGGUUGUAAAGUACUUUCAGCGGGGAGGAAGGGAGUAAAGUUAAUACCUUUGCUCAUUGACGUUACCCGCAGAAGAAGCACCGGCUAACUCCGUGCCAGCAGCCGCGGUAAUACGGAGGGUGCAAGCGUUAAUCGGAAUUACUGGGCGUAAAGCGCACGCAGGCGGUUUGUUAAGUCAGAUGUGAAAUCCCCGGGCUCAACCUGGGAACUGCAUCUGAUACUGGCAAGCUUGAGUCUCGUAGAGGGGGGUAGAAUUCCAGGUGUAGCGGUGAAAUGCGUAGAGAUCUGGAGGAAUACCGGUGGCGAAGGCGGCCCCCUGGACGAAGACUGACGCUCAGGUGCGAAAGCGUGGGGAGCAAACAGGAUUAGAUACCCUGGUAGUCCACGCCGUAAACGAUGUCGACUUGGAGGUUGUGCCCUUGAGGCGUGGCUUCCGGAGCUAACGCGUUAAGUCGACCGCCUGGGGAGUACGGCCGCAAGGUUAAAACUCAAAUGAAUUGACGGGGGCCCGCACAAGCGGUGGAGCAUGUGGUUUAAUUCGAUGCAACGCGAAGAACCUUACCUGGUCUUGACAUCCACGGAAGUUUUCAGAGAUGAGAAUGUGCCUUCGGGAACCGUGAGACAGGUGCUGCAUGGCUGUCGUCAGCUCGUGUUGUGAAAUGUUGGGUUAAGUCCCGCAACGAGCGCAACCCUUAUCCUUUGUUGCCAGCGGUCCGGCCGGGAACUCAAAGGAGACUGCCAGUGAUAAACUGGAGGAAGGUGGGGAUGACGUCAAGUCAUCAUGGCCCUUACGACCAGGGCUACACACGUGCUACAAUGGCGCAUACAAAGAGAAGCGACCUCGCGAGAGCAAGCGGACCUCAUAAAGUGCGUCGUAGUCCGGAUUGGAGUCUGCAACUCGACUCCAUGAAGUCGGAAUCGCUAGUAAUCGUGGAUCAGAAUGCCACGGUGAAUACGUUCCCGGGCCUUGUACACACCGCCCGUCACACCAUGGGAGUGGGUUGCAAAAGAAGUAGGUAGCUUAACCUUCGGGAGGGCGCUUACCACUUUGUGAUCAUGACUG
Molecule: ribosomal RNA, 1460 nt
Filed under: Shigella flexneri
Lineage: Bacteria; Pseudomonadati; Pseudomonadota; Gammaproteobacteria; Enterobacterales; Enterobacteriaceae
Description: bacterial SSU rRNA
Rfam family: Bacterial small subunit ribosomal RNA
Source: RNAcentral